This 1209-nucleotide long non-coding RNA is filed under the name Fukomys damarensis (Damara mole-rat). Its description in RNAcentral is "lncRNA (ENSFDAG00000022761.1)". The record is from RNAcentral. Lineage: Eukaryota; Metazoa; Chordata; Mammalia; Rodentia; Bathyergidae.
GUGGCAGCUCUUGUUGCCUGGCAACCCCUUGGUCCCCUACACUGAAGUAGAACAAAGCAGGAGGGGGGAGUGGCCAAAGGCAGGUGGUGGUCCCCACAGCCUUGCCAGAGAGGCCUAUCUCACUGAGACGGGUAGGAGAGAUAAGCUUUUGGAGAGACCUGGGAAGCUGGCUUCCCUGGGGUUAACUCACCUAGGCAUAGCUAGUCAGGGCCAGAAGAGCUGCCCAGAUGACCACCAAAGUGAACACCUGUGCUAGGUCCUGGCUGUGCAGUCAUGGUUGGUCAGAAUAUGGGCCCAGCACCCCCACCCGGCCCAGCUCAGCCACACCGUGUAUCCUGAACACUCCAGGAAGGGCCUGCAGUGUUUCCAGAACAUCAGCCUGGCGCACCCUUGGUGAUGUGUUCUUAAAGUCUGCUCGAAGGCCAAGUGGUGGAAGGCAUCAUCCAUGGCUGGAGACACACCCUCGCUGUUCUAGGCCUGGGCUGGGUGGACAUGCUUAAAGACAAAACUCCCUUCCCUUCAACAAAUAAAGGUCAAGGAAGAAAAGAAAGAGGUGGGUGGAGUGGUCAUAAACUAAAAAUGGACUGCCAGGCAUGGUGGCUCACGCCUAUAAUCCCAGUACUCGGGAGGCUGAGGCAGGAGGAUCGCUGUGAGUUCGAGACCACCCUGGGCUACAUAGUGAGUUCCAGGUCAAUCUCAACUACAUAGUGAGACCCUGUCUCAAAAAACCAAAACAAACAACAAACAAACAAAAAAAUAAAAAAAAAAUGGACUUAAGAAAUGUUACCCAAAUGCAAUGUGUGGACAACAUUUUUGAGGUUCAAAAGGGAAGACAUCAACUACAAAAGAGAUGUAAGAGAGUAAAUGAGAAAACCUCACCACUGCAAUUGAAUUAAAAAUUUAAAGGUUUAGUAAUGGUAUUGUGGUAUGUGAAAAAUGGGGCAGUUUUUCUCUUAGAUGUCCAUGGUGCCAUUCAUAGAAAAGGUGGUCACCAACAAAACUGUCUUCCCUUGGCUUUCACAGAUGUGGAAGCAGGUUGAGACUGGGUACCAGGGCACACUACCCCCCCACUUUUGUGUUACAGUUUUGCACGUUGACAUUUCCAGAAUGGAAAUGUUUUGUUUUGCUUUGCUUUGAACAAAACUUCCAAGUAAUUUUGCUGCACAGCUGGGGUUGAGAACCACUGAUGUUGAAAAUACAGAAAAACCC